UACGUAGGUCCCGAGCGUUGUCCGGAUUUAUUGGGCGUAAAGCGAGCGCAGGUGGUUUAUUAAGUCUGGUGUAAAAGGCAGUGGCUCAACCAUUGUAUGCAUUGGAAACUGGUAGACUUCAGUGCAGGAGAGGAGAGUGGAAUUCCAUGUGUAGCGGUGAAAUGCGUAGAUAUAUGGAGGAACACCGGUGGCGAAAGCGGCUCUCUGGCCUGCAACUGACACUGAGGCUCGAAAGCGUGGGGAGCAAACAGG
This 252-nucleotide ribosomal RNA is filed under the name uncultured bacterium. RNAcentral's name for it is "partial 16S ribosomal RNA". It matches the Rfam family "Bacterial small subunit ribosomal RNA", at positions 524 to 776 of the family's 1533-position model. The record is from RNAcentral.